This 508-nucleotide ribosomal RNA is filed under the name Streptomyces sp. WAC 01420. RNAcentral describes it as "bacterial SSU rRNA". It matches the Rfam family "Bacterial small subunit ribosomal RNA", at positions 12 to 518 of the family's 1533-position model. The record is from RNAcentral. Lineage: Bacteria; Bacillati; Actinomycetota; Actinomycetes; Kitasatosporales; Streptomycetaceae.
UUUGAUCCUCGGCUCAGGACGAACGCUGGCGGCGUGCUUAACACAUGCAAGUCGAACGAUGAAAGAGAAUCCGAUCUCUUCGGAGUGAAGAAUCUCUGGAUUAGUGGCGGACGGGUGAGUAACGCGUGAGCAAUCUGCCUUACACAAAGGGAUAGCCUCGGGAAACCGGGAUUAAUACCAUAUGAUAUCUACAAGCCGCAUGGCCUAUAGAUUAAAGAAUUUCGGUGUAAGAUGAGCUCGCGUCCCAUUAAUUAGUUGGUGAGGGUAACGGCCCACCAAGAUAGCGAUGGGUAGCCGAUCUAAGAGGAUGACCGGCCACAUUGGAACUGAGAAACGGUCCAAACUCCUACGGGAGGCAGCAGUGGGGAAUAUUGCACAAUGGGGGAAACCCUGAUGCAGCGACGCCGCGUGAGCGAUGAAGGCUUUCGAGUCGUAAAGCUCUGUCCUAUGGGAAGAUAAUGACGGUACCAUAGAAGAAAGCCCCGGCUAAUUACGUGCCAGCCGCCGC